RNAcentral lists this long non-coding RNA (2293 nucleotides) under Trifolium pratense (red clover). RNAcentral's name for it is "long non-coding RNA (TPRA_LNC001806)". The record is from RNAcentral. Lineage: Eukaryota; Viridiplantae; Streptophyta; Magnoliopsida; Fabales; Fabaceae.
UAGAUUUGCAUUGAAUCAACACCAUGAACAGAGUACAUUCUUACAUAUAGCAGAUUACAAAUGAUUCAUCUACAUCCUAGACUAUCCUAGAUCCUACCUCCAAAAGAAGCUUAGCUCCUCAUGUUUCUUCGUUCGCGUCCUCGCUUCAACUUCAUGGCUUGAGAAUCCAUGCUAUUGAGAUGCUCGGAGCUAUCCUAUGGAGUCCUUGAUCUGGAUCUUGAUGCUUCCAAAAUCAGAGAAUAGAUGAAUAAUGCAGAAUUUUCCAACCCCUUAACAGAAAAAUGCAGAAUCCUUAUAUAGUGAUCGCAACCACGCCGCGCGUCAGAUCUAUCACGCCGCGCGUGGUUGCAAUUUCUUCAACGACGCCGCGCGUGUAACGGUAUCACGCGGCGCGUGAUCCAAUCUGAGGCCUCUGAUCUUCAGCUCUGCCAUCUUCACGCCGCGCGUGAUAGCUCCACGCCCCCGGCGUAGUUGUUCCUCUUCUCUUUACGCCGCGCGUGGUCAGUGCUACGCCGCGCGUGAUCAAGUCAGAGAGCAAUCCAAUUCCUGAACAAAGCNNNNNNNNNNNNNNNNNNNNNNNNNNNNACAAGUAAUCAAGCUUAUGAUUAGAUUUCUCUUAUAUUUAUUGCUUAAAACCUACUAAAAUGCAUUUAAUGUUGCUAAAAUAGGCAUGGAUUAGAGAGUGUGACGAUCCGUCAUCAGUGUUUUUUUGCUAGAAGUCUCUUUCUCAUCUUUUGGUUAGAACGUAAAUUUUGACUUUCACAUUUGUAUGAUAUAUAUUUUGUAGCAAAAUUAAGUGAAAUAAAUGUGCUUGCUAUUAGCUGAAAUAUAUUCAGAUGUUAGUGUCUGUCAAGUACCUUUUUGUAGAUUUUGGAUACAAGGUGAAAUCCACCCUUUGUCAAGGAGCCAAAAGUAAUUGAAAAGUCAAGGAAGAGAAACAUAAGAUAUUCUCCCAUUUGGUUAUAGUAGGAAUCUUUAUCAUAACACAAGAUGAAUCAUAAUUACCAUCAAUGGCAAUCUCUUUGAUGCUCCUAUGUUGUAGUUAGAGUCGUUAAUCAAAUGUUUCAGCACAAGGCACAACGCAAGCAUGACUACCUCUAACAUACAAAAGUAAAAAAGUAACGGUAAGAAGAAAAAAAAAAUGAAGAAAUCAAAGCAAAGUUGCGACUAUACUACCACGAUGCAUAAAAAGAAAAUUAAGUUCUCAUACUAUUACACUAUUAGAAUAAAAUAUAUGCACCUCUUCAAACUUAUGAAUAUUAACAGAUAUUCACUAAAAAUUAUAUUAAUUGUCCUUAAUAACACAAAUCUACUAUGUAGGUUAAUAUUAAACAAAAUUAUUAUUUUUUUAAAUAACCUUCUUAUUUUUAAUAUAAAUUUAUAUUAAAUAUAACCAUGUUACUAUAUUUAAAAUAUUAACAAUCAUUUAAUUAUAUAUGAUUAUACUUAUCAUAAUUAUUAUUUUUAUUGAUAAAAAAUAUUUUAAAUGUGUGUUUUAAUCAAACCCAUGAAAUGAAAGAAAAAAAACAAAUCCUCUAUAAAAAAGAGUAUUGCAUUCUAAUAAGCACUACUAAAUUAAAUUGAAAAUCCGAAUAAAAAUUAUUAAAUAAAAAAAUUCAAAGCAAAAUGAACGGAGAAAAACCUCAUAGAAAAAAAAAACCAAACAAUAGACAAAAAAAAUUGAGACUAAUAAAAUCGGGAUAAAAUUUCACCAAGUGAAUAAUUGAUAAGAAACUUCAAGAGAAUGAGGUAAGUAGAUAAUUUAUUUGGCAUCUUAACUGUAUAGAAGGGAGUAAGCAGUAACAUUGCUAUUUGAUAGGUAAUUUUCAGAACACGAGAUCACGUGAUAAAAAUUGUCAAAAUCACCAUACUUCUUAGAUCAACAUUACUCAUGAGCAAUAUUUUCACCAAUUAUAAGUAUGUAUGACCUCUAACUCUUAUUGAAAAUAAAUAAAUAAGGGAUACAUUAAAAAUAAAAAUGCAAAGUGAUUUGUGACUAAAAUUGCAACUCAUAUAAUGAAAAUUAAGAUUUUAUACGAUGACACAAUUAAAAUAAAAUAUGAUACAUCAUUUAAAUAAAAAUUAUUUUAAUCUUGAACAAUUUUUUUUGUUUUUACACAUAUAUAAAUAUUGAAUAUAACCAUAUAAUUUGUUGGAUUUUGCCCCGACCAAAAUUCUGCACAAAAUCUGCUUCUGAGCCUUAAGUUCAAAGCUUCGCACAUAACUCAAUUUGGACCAAUAAUUCACAAAACUGAUACCGAAACAAUCGUAAUCGAGUUAACUUUCACAGAAU